This 631-nucleotide ribosomal RNA is filed under the name Micromonospora sp. Ri3Ps_6510. Its description in RNAcentral is "bacterial SSU rRNA". It matches the Rfam family "Bacterial small subunit ribosomal RNA", at positions 382 to 1024 of the family's 1533-position model. The record is from RNAcentral. Lineage: Bacteria; Bacillati; Actinomycetota; Actinomycetes; Micromonosporales; Micromonosporaceae.
CCUGAUGCAGCGACGCCGCGUGAGGGAUGACGGCCUUCGGGUUGUAAACCUCUUUCAGCAGGGACGAAGCGCAAGUGACGGUACCUGCAGAAGAAGCACCGGCCAACUACGUGCCAGCAGCCGCGGUAAGACGUAGGGUGCGAGCGUUGUCCGGAUUUAUUGGGCGUAAAGAGCUCGUAGGCGGCUUGUCGCGUCGACCGUGAAAACUUGGGGCUCAACCCCAAGCCUGCGGUCGAUACGGGCAGGCUAGAGUUCGGUAGGGGAGACUGGAAUUCCUGGUGUAGCGGUGAAAUGCGCAGAUAUCAGGAGGAACACCGGUGGCGAAGGCGGGUCUCUGGGCCGAUACUGACGCUGAGGAGCGAAAGCGUGGGGAGCGAACAGGAUUAGAUACCCUGGUAGUCCACGCUGUAAACGUUGGGCGCUAGGUGUGGGGGGCCUCUCCGGUUCCCUGUGCCGCAGCUAACGCAUUAAGCGCCCCGCCUGGGGAGUACGGCCGCAAGGCUAAAACUCAAAGGAAUUGACGGGGGCCCGCACAAGCGGCGGAGCAUGCGGAUUAAUUCGAUGCAACGCGAAGAACCUUACCUGGGUUUGACAUGGCCGCAAAACUUCCAGAGAUGGGAGGUCCUUCGGG